RNAcentral lists this ribosomal RNA (492 nucleotides) under uncultured bacterium. Its description in RNAcentral is "bacterial SSU rRNA". It matches the Rfam family "Bacterial small subunit ribosomal RNA", at positions 903 to 1397 of the family's 1533-position model. The record is from RNAcentral.
AAAUGAAUAGACGGGGGCCCGCACAAGCGGAGGAGCAUGUGGUUUAAUUCGAUGAUACGCGAGGAACCUUACCCGGGCUUGAAUUGCAGUGGAAUAACUUGGAAACAGGUUAGUCUUCGGACCACUGUGAAGGUGCUGCAUGGUUGUCGUCAGCUCGUGCCGUGAGGUGUUAGGUUAAGUCCUGCAACGAGCGCAACCCUUACACUUAGUUGCCAGCACGUUAAGGUGGGAACUCUAAGUGAACUGCCUACGCAAGUAGAGAGGAAGGUGGGGAUGACGUCAAAUCAGCACGGCCCUUAUGUUCGGGGCUACACACGUGCUACAAUGGUCGGUACAGAGGGCUGCUACCCCGCGAGGGGAUGCUAAUCUCCAAAGCCGAUCUCAGUUCGGAUCGGAGUCUGUAACUCGACUCCGUGAAGUUGGAUUCGCUAGUAAUCGCACAUCAGCCAUGGUGCGGUGAAUACGUUCCCGGGCCUUGUACACACCGCCCGU